GACACUGGGGCCACUUGCCAUGUCUGCUCCAACAGGAGCAUGUUCACUACUUUUGCACCAGUUACAAAUGGUGAAAAGUUGUUCAUGGGAAACUCUGCAACUUCUGAAGUGCUUGGUAAAGGCAAGGUGAUCCUGAAGAUGACAUCUGGCAAAGAGCUUACUCUGACUAAUGUGCUGUACGUGCCAGAGAUUCGCAAGAAUCUGGUCUCUGGGUCUCUUCUGAGCAAGAAUGGGUUCCGCAUGGUCUUUGAGGCGGAUAAGCUGGUGAUUACCAAAAUAGGAGUUUAUGUUGGGAAAGGCUAUAUAACUGAUGGCCUG
Molecule: long non-coding RNA, 318 nt
Filed under: Olea europaea subsp. europaea
Lineage: Eukaryota; Viridiplantae; Streptophyta; Magnoliopsida; Lamiales; Oleaceae
Source: RNAcentral